This 253-nucleotide ribosomal RNA is filed under the name uncultured bacterium. RNAcentral describes it as "partial 16S ribosomal RNA". It matches the Rfam family "Bacterial small subunit ribosomal RNA", at positions 524 to 776 of the family's 1533-position model. The record is from RNAcentral.
UACGUAGGGCGCAAGCGUUGUCCGGAAUUAUUGGGCGUAAAGAGCUCGUAGGCGGCUUGUCACGUCGGAUGUGAAAACCCGGGGCUCAACUCCGGGCCUGCAGCCGAUACGGGCAGACUAGAGUGAUGUAGGGGAGACUGGAAUUCCUGGUGUAGCGGUGAAAUGCGCAGAUAUCAGGAGGAACACCGAUGGCGAAGGCAGGUCUCUGGGCAUUAACUGACGCUGAGGAGCGAAAGCAUGGGGAGCGAACAGG